This 502-nucleotide ribosomal RNA is filed under the name uncultured bacterium. RNAcentral's name for it is "partial 16S ribosomal RNA". It matches the Rfam family "Bacterial small subunit ribosomal RNA", at positions 30 to 523 of the family's 1533-position model. The record is from RNAcentral.
AUUGAACGCUGGCGGCGUGCCUAACACAUGCAAGUCGAGCGGUAACAGGUGUAGCAAUACAUGCUGACGAGCGGCGAACGGGUGAGUAAUGCUUCGGAAUCUACCUUAUGGUGGGGAAUAACUAGCCGAAAGGUUAGCUAAUACCGCAUACGUCCUACGGGAGAAAGCAGGGGAUCGCAAGACCUUGCGCCAAAAGAUUAGCCGAAGUCGGAUUAGCUAGUUGGUAGGGUAACGGCCUACCAAGGCGACGAUCCGUAGCUGGUCUGAGAGGACGACCAGCCACACUGGGACUGAGACACGGCCCAGACUCCUACGGGAGGCAGCAGUGGGGAAUAUUGGACAAUGGGGGAAACCCUGAUCCAGCGACGCCGCGUGUGUGAAGAAGGCCUGCGGGUUGUAAAGCACUUUUAGUGGGGAUGAUAUGUGCAGGGUUAAUACCUCUGCAUUUUGACCUAACCCACAGAAAAAGCACCGGCUAACUCUGUGCCAGCCGCCGCCGUAA